RNAcentral lists this ribosomal RNA (1343 nucleotides) under uncultured bacterium. Its description in RNAcentral is "16S ribosomal RNA". It matches the Rfam family "Bacterial small subunit ribosomal RNA", at positions 28 to 1378 of the family's 1533-position model. The record is from RNAcentral.
GACGAACGCUGGCGGCGUGCUUAACACAUGCAAGUCGAACGGAAAGGCCCUGCUUUUGUGGGGUGCUCGAGUGGCGAACGGGUGAGUAACACGUGAGUAACCUGCCCUUGACUUUGGGAUAACUUCAGGAAACUGGGGCUAAUACCGGAUAGGAGCUCCUGCUGCAUGGUGGGGGUUGGAAAGUUUCGGCGGUUGGGGAUGGACUCGCGGCUUAUCAGCUUGUUGGUGGGGUAGUGGCUUACCAAGGCUUUGACGGGUAGCCGGCCUGAGAGGGUGACCGGCCACAUUGGGACUGAGAUACGGCCCAGACUCCUACGGGAGGCAGCAGUGGGGAAUAUUGCACAAUGGGCGGAAGCCUGAUGCAGCAACGCCGCGUGCGGGAUGACGGCCUUCGGGUUGUAAACCGCUUUCGCCUGUGACGAAGCGUGAGUGACGGUAAUGGGUAAAGAAGCACCGGCUAACUACGUGCCAGCAGCCGCGGUGAUACGUAGGGUGCGAGCGUUGUCCGGAUUUUAUUGGCGUAAAGGGCUCGUANGUGGUUGAUCGCGUCGGAAGUGUAAUCUUGGGGCUUAACCCUGAGCGUGCUUUCGAUACGGGUUGACUUGAGGAAGGUAGGGGAGAAUGGAAUUCCUGGUGGAGCGGUGGAAUGCGCAGAUAUCAGGAGGAACACCAGUGGCGAAGGCGGUUCUCUGGGCCUUUCCUGACGCUGAGGAGCGAAAGCGUGGGGAGCGAACAGGCUUAGAUACCCUGGUAGUCCACGCUGUAAACGGUGGGUACUAGGUGUGGGGUCCAUUCCACGGGUUCCGUGCCGUAGCUAACGCUUUAAGUACCCCGCCUGGGGAGUACGGCCGCAAGGCUAAAACUCAAAGGAAUUGACGGGGCCCCGCACAAGCGGCGGAGCAUGCGGAUUAAUUCGAUGCAACGCGUAGAACCUUACCUGGGUUUGACAUGGAUCGGGAGCGCUCAGAGAUGGGUGUGCCUCUUUUGGGGUCGGUUCACAGGUGGUGCAUGGCUGUCGUCAGCUCGUGUCGUGAGAUGUUGGGUUAAGUCCCGCAACGAGCGCAACCCUUGUUCACUGUUGCCAGCACGUUAUGGUGGGGACUCAGUGGAGACCGCCGGGGUCAACUCGGAGGAAGGUGGGGAUGACGUCAAGUCAUCAUGCCCCUUAUGUCCAGGGCUUCACGCAUGCUACAAUGGCUGGUACAGAGAGUGGCGAGCCUGUGAGGGUGAGCGAAUCUCGGAAAGCCGGUCUCAGUUCGGAUUGGGGUCUGCAACUCGACCUCAUGAAGUCGGAGUCGCUAGUAAUCGCAGAUCAGCAACGCUGCGGUGAAUACGUUCCCGGG